This 971-nucleotide ribosomal RNA is filed under the name uncultured soil bacterium. Its description in RNAcentral is "SSU rRNA". It matches the Rfam family "Bacterial small subunit ribosomal RNA", at positions 1 to 984 of the family's 1533-position model. The record is from RNAcentral.
CGGUUCUAUGCUGGAUCUGCACAUUCGCCCUUAGAGUUUGAUCCUGGCUCAGAAUCAACGCUGGCGGCGUGCUUAACACAUGCAAGUCGAACGAGAAAGUGGAGCAAUCCAUGAGUAAAGGGGCGCACGGGUGAGUAACACGUGACUAACCUACCCUGGAGUGGGGGAUAACUGAGGGAAACCUUUUCUUAUACCGCAUAAUACCCACGGGUCAAAGGAGCAAUUCUCUUCAGGAGGGGGUCGCGGCCGAUUAGUUAGUUGGCGGGGUAAUGGCCCACCAAGACUGUGAUCGGUAUCCGGCCUGAGAGGGCGCACGGACACACUGGAACUGAAACACGGUCCAGACUCCUACGGGAGGCAGCAGUGGGGAAUUUUGCGCAAUGGGGGAAACCCUGACGCAGCAACGCCCCGUGGAGGAUGAAGUCCUUCGGGACGUAAACUCCUUUCGAUCGGGACGAUAAUGACGGUACCGGAAGAAGAAGCCCCGGCUAACUUCGUGCCAGCCGCCGCGGUAAUACGAGGGGGGCGAGCGUUGUUCGGAAUUAUUGGGCGUAGAGGGUGCGUAGGCGGUUUUGUAAGUCUUAUGUGAAAUCUAUGGGCUCAACUCAUAGACUGCAUGAGAAACUGCAGGGCUUGAGUGUGGGAGAGGUGAGUCGAAUUUCCGGUGUAGCGGUGUAAUGCGUAGAUAUCGGAAGGAACACCUGUGGCGAAAGCGGCUCACUGGACCACAACUGACGCUGAUGCACCAAGCUAGGGGAGCAAACAGGAUUAGACACCCUGGCAGUCUCGCCCUAAACGAUGACUGCUUGUGUGACGGGUACCCAAUCCCGCCGUGACUUCAGCUACGCGUUCAACAGUCAGCUGUGGAGUACGUUCUGCAAGGCUGAACUCGACGGCAAUGAUGGGGCCAGACUAAGCGAUGCAGCUGCGAUCUAUUCGACGCAAUAGUUAGAAACUAUACUUGGCCCGUA